Molecule: long non-coding RNA, 1972 nt
Organism: Eleginops maclovinus (Patagonian blennie)
Lineage: Eukaryota; Metazoa; Chordata; Actinopteri; Perciformes; Eleginopidae
Exons: 3
Source: RefSeq, a predicted model, not a curated record
UCAACUACCUAAAAAAUAUCUGAAUUGAUCAUUUAUUAUAAAUUCAAAGAGUAUUUCCGUGUUGCUUUUUGUAUAAGGUGUCUUUAUUUUUGCUAUUUUCCACAAGUUAAAGACACUACUGAAGCAGGUGAGAUUUUCAGAUUUUAUGGGUCUUAACCUUGAAGAUUUCCAUUACAUGUUAUGAAUGUGUUCCUAUCUAAUCACCUAUUUUAACAUGAAGGUUGUUUUUCUGAUUUUCAGAUAUUCACAUUCUCUGGCGGUCCAUUUCUCAAUAUAAAUGAUGAUGAAAAUGUUAUACACUCUUAAACAUCAAAAUCUAAAACUGUUUGUUUGUAAUCUGCCCCAGAUUUGAAUUGGAAUACUACAUUUAAUGAAGCUGAAGUGGAGACCUUAACUCUAUAAAUCUUUUCCAAAAUCCAUGGAUAUUUAAGACAUAACAUUUAAACUUUGAUUCUAAUCCAGUGUAUCAGGAAAUGAUUUGCCAAAAUACCAUUCUGUCAAGGGAUCAAACGGGGAAGAAGUACUCAGAUCCUUUACUUAAGGAAAACUAGAGAUGAUAUGGUCUUAAAAUAUUCCAUUACGAGUAAAGAACCUGAAUUCAAAAUGUUCCUUAAGAAGUAGAGACGUAAAUGUACUUAAAGAAUGCAGAUUGCAGAUUUUCGCAGUGUUAUAUUAUUAUAGAAUAAUAUAUUAUCUGUUUUUGUCACUAGAAAAUACAUAUUAGUGUAUUUUAUUAUUGUAGUUUGUCAAUGUGGACACUUGAUAAAAUACUGGGUUUAUUUGUAGUAUAAUACUGUACCCUAUCACAUAAGCAUACAAUGUGUUUUUAUAUAUAACAAGUGUAAAUUAAAUGUAUUAAAAUGUAUUAAAAAAGUAUGAUUUUUGCCCAUGAAAUGUUGUGGCAUGAAAGUAUAAAGUAGCAUAAAACAGAAAUACACUAAAGUAAAAUACACUUCAUGUCAAAAACUGGCAUUAUUAUGAUACUUAGCUAUUUAGUCUCCUCCUGAUCCAGAAGAGAGGACUGGGUGGCAGUAUGAAGAAAGCUGCCUGACUCCUUUGGAGAUUGAGAUAUUUGACAAGUCGCCCUAUUGGAUCGGAUACCAGAAAUUAUUCUUUGCCUUCGUCGACAAACCGAUGAGCUGGAAAGAUGCUGAGGUAGCCUGACAUAACACUAUUAAGGAGUUGGUGUUGAACAAGACUGGAAUCAAAAUGAGUAUACUUUUAUUUUUCCAAUGUCUUUAUGUCUCACUCUGCUUUUCCAGAUAUUAAAUAUUAGGUGGAAAGGUUUGAAAGUAUUUGCCUUAUUCUCUGAUCUGAAAAAAUAAUAAUUUCUACCUUCUGUGUAAAAACUCAGCCCUGAGGCCAUCAUACUGUUUCUGUCCGCAGUGAGAGAGCUUCAUCUCUUUCUUAAAAAUGUUUCCUUUUAAUUUUACAUGCACUUUGCUCAAGUAACAAAAUAUAUGAUUUAAAGGCAAUAUAAGUAAAACAAAAAAGAGGCAUGAAUACUAAUGUUUAUUUAUAAAAGCUCAUCUCCGCCUUUACAGGAAUAUUGUGUGCGCUACGACACCAACCUCGCAUCCGUCCACAGCCAGCAGGAGAAUACAUUCCUUCGGAUCUACACGAUGACAAACAAAUAUUAUGGGCUAGACUGGAUUGGUGCAAACUAGACGUUCCAGAGCCAAGAUUGGAUGUGGACUGAUGGUUCAGAGUUUGAGGUGGUGAACUUGGACAAUAACAAGCCCGGCACCUUGGAUAAAAUGAGGAGAUGCCUGACAUUAAAUCCGUCAGAUUACACCAGUUGGUUUUGUAAUAAAAGGCUUCCCUUCAUCUGUGGAACCAAACCAAGUGAAGAGUCAUAAAGUACCACAGUGCUUCGGUCCAGGAAACACAUCUGACAACUCUUCUACAGUCCCCAUGACUUUUUGAAAUCACAUGAAACAAAAUAGCUGAAAUCAUAUAAAUAAUAAGCACU